UACGUAGGGGGCAAGCGUUGUCCGGAUUUAUUGGGCGUAAAGAGCGUGUAGGCGGCCAGGUAGGUCCGUUGUGAAAACUCGAGGCUCAACCUCGAGACGUCGGCGGAAACCCUCUGGCUAGAGUCCGGAAGAGGAGAGUGGAAUUCCUGGUGUAGCGGUGAAAUGCGCAGAUAUCAGGAAGAACACCCGUGGCGAAAGCGGCAUCCUGGACCGGCAUUGACGCUGAGGCGCGAAAGCCAGGGGAGCAAACGGG
RNAcentral lists this ribosomal RNA (253 nucleotides) under uncultured bacterium. RNAcentral describes it as "partial 16S ribosomal RNA". It matches the Rfam family "Bacterial small subunit ribosomal RNA", at positions 524 to 776 of the family's 1533-position model. The record is from RNAcentral.